This 450-nucleotide ribosomal RNA is filed under the name uncultured soil bacterium. RNAcentral describes it as "bacterial SSU rRNA". It matches the Rfam family "Bacterial small subunit ribosomal RNA", at positions 26 to 518 of the family's 1533-position model. The record is from RNAcentral.
AGAACGAACGCUGGCGGCAUGCCUAACACAUGCAAGUCGAACGAGACCUUCGGGUCUAGUGGCGCACGGGUGCGUAACGCGUGGGAAUCUGCCCUUGGGUUCGGGAUAACAGUUGGAAACGACUGCUAAUACCGGAUGAUGACUUCGGUCCAAAGAUUUAUCGCCCAAGGAUGAGCCCGCGUAGGAUUAGCUUGUUGGUGAGGUAAGAGCUCACCAAGGCGACGAUCCUUAGCUGGUCUGAGAGGAUGAUCAGCCACACUGGGACUGAGACACGGCCCAGACUCCUACGGGAGGCAGCAGUGGGGAAUAUGGACAAUGGGCGAAAGCCUGAUCCAGCAAUGCCGCGUGAGUGAUGAAGGCCUUAGGGUGUAAAGCUCUUUUACCCGGGAUGAUAAUGACAGUACCGGAGAAGUAAAGCCCCGGAUAACUCCCGGUAGCCCAGCCAGCCGC